Molecule: long non-coding RNA, 1229 nt
Organism: Mastomys coucha (southern multimammate mouse)
Lineage: Eukaryota; Metazoa; Chordata; Mammalia; Rodentia; Muridae
Exons: 2
Source: RefSeq, a predicted model, not a curated record
CACACAUGUCUGCAGCUGCUCCUGUCGUCACAGGAAGCCGAGUGAAGGCUCCUCUUCCUUCCUGCAGGUGGACUAUGUCCACUGUUCCUGGCCUCUGAUGACCCAGUGUUCCUCCCAGGAAGCUUCAUGUGCCUUAUUACCUAACUGAUGAAUUAUUUGGGUCAGCAUAAAGGCUACUUGGCACUUCCUCAGCUUGCAGCCAGGGGAUGAGAGUUUGUGUGGAGUGCUGGCUCCCUUUGUGUCCACUGCAAUGAGGCAGAGUGUUUUAAAGGGUAUGGUCUUGCUCUGCUCUUCUGCCCACCCUUCAGGAAAUAUGAACUUUACUGGUCUCUGUGGAGUGAGAUGUCCCUGCCACUCUGCUACCACCUCUAGCCUCAAGGGAGUAGCAUUUCAGAGUGGAUGGUGGGCAUAUAGAAGAAGCUCUCCCAAUGCCCAACCUUAGGUGCCACAGUGAGACACGUGUUUCUAGAAUGAUUGAUGCUCAGGUGGUGUGGUUUUGUGGAGGGAGCAGGAGCGGAAACCUGUGCACAGAUCACUGUGACAUUUUCAGAUGCUUUCAGUUGAUCCAUACAUACCUCUGAACAAGACAUACUUCCCUCCUGGACCCACACCCCACAAGUGCCUCAGACAGCCUGAAAUGUCGUUAUCUCACAUUCUCUUGAGUAGUGGAAUGUGAACUGUAUGUGCUGUGCUCACGAAUCAUCUCCGAACGAUUACAAAAGUCUCAGCUGGGGCCUAGCAGCUGUUACCCAGAUGUUCUGCAUAGCAGCUGAAGCAUCGUUUGGUAUCAAUAAACUCAUCUCAUGUGAGAGCUGAGCUGGAAAUGGUGACGACUGCCAUGAAUAGACCAUCCUCAGGGAAGAGGAAUAAGCCCAGAGACUGAGUGGGCCUUCCCUCCCCGGGGCACUGCCUGCUCUGAGACCCACUGUGACUGAGGCGCUGAGUGUUAGCAGGUCCCAGGCUCAGAUAUAUGGCCAGUUUGCUAUUAGAAUGUAUGUUCAGAGGUGUGUGCUAAAUCCCACCUCCUAAGCCCUGACUGAACCCUUUGUUACCUCCCACCCCCAGAGGUCUGAGGAGGUGGAACUCUGUGUGUUGAUGAGCUUACUCAUGAGUACUGUGAACUGGCUGCAGCCAGUUUUAGAAGCAAUAGAUCCGCCUCUCCAGGACAUCCUGUUAUUGUUCUUCUGCUCUCACUUCUGCUACACAAUAAAAACUGCUGCAGUAACCGG